RNAcentral lists this ribosomal RNA (299 nucleotides) under uncultured bacterium. RNAcentral's name for it is "partial 16S ribosomal RNA". It matches the Rfam family "Bacterial small subunit ribosomal RNA", at positions 9 to 309 of the family's 1533-position model. The record is from RNAcentral.
GAGUUUGAUCUUGGCUCAGAUUGAACGCUGGCGGCAGGCCUAACACAUGCAAGUCGAGCGGUAGAGAGAAGCUUGCUUCUCUUGAGAGCGGCGGACGGGUGAGUAAUGCCUAGGAAUCUGCCUGGUAGUGGGGGAUAACGCUCGGAAACGGACGCUAAUACCGCAUACGUCCUACGGGAGAAAGCAGGGGACCUUCGGGCCUUGCGCUAUCAGAUGAGCCUAGGUCGGAUUAGCUAGUUGGUGAGGUAAUGGCUCACCAAGGCGACGAUCCGUAACGUGGUCUGAGAGGAUGAUCAGUC